AAAUUAUUUACAAAAUAAACUCAACACCUUUGUAUGGGAUCAGCUCGCCUGACAGUGUGCAGCAAAGCUUCGAAAAAUAAAGAAAGGGUAAAGAAAAAAUAAACGAAAAAAUACAUAAUUAAAUUCCAAUAUUAUUUGUUACAGAAAGUCUAUCCUUCAAAGACUCUUUAACAUAACCGUCUUUUGCCGUGUCACUUUUCCACCGACCAUGCUUUUUGAACAAUCUGUCCUCUACACCAGCCGCUGCAGCAGCCGAUGCCCCUCC
This 265-nucleotide long non-coding RNA is filed under the name Mytilus galloprovincialis (Mediterranean mussel). Lineage: Eukaryota; Metazoa; Mollusca; Bivalvia; Mytilida; Mytilidae. The record is from RNAcentral.